UGGGUGAGUAAUGUCUGGGAAACUGCCUGAUGGAGGGGGAUAACUACUGGAAACGGUAGCUAAUACCGCAUGACGUCGCAAGACCAAAGUGGGGGACCUUCGGGCCUCACGCCAUCGGAUGUGCCCAGAUGGGAUUAGCUAGUAGGUGAGGUAAUGGCUCACCUAGGCGACGAUCCCUAGCUGGUCUGAGAGGAUGACCAGCCACACUGGAACUGAGACACGGUCCAGACUCCUACGGGAGGCAGCAGUGGGGAAUAUUGCACAAUGGGCGCAAGCCUGAUGCAGCCAUGCCGCGUGUGUGAAGAAGGCCUUAGGGUUGUA
RNAcentral lists this ribosomal RNA (321 nucleotides) under uncultured bacterium. RNAcentral describes it as "bacterial SSU rRNA". It matches the Rfam family "Bacterial small subunit ribosomal RNA", at positions 103 to 427 of the family's 1533-position model. The record is from RNAcentral.